UAAAAUACAUAAAGGAUAUUUAUAGUACAUGAGGAAACCCUAAAAUCAAAGCCCGAAGAAAAUAGGAGAAAACAGGGUUGGUGGCCACUUAUGGUCUCUACCUGUGCCCUGACCCUUGCCGCAGGUAGCACUUGCACCAAGUGCCAGAGACCAAAAAUCCUGUAGGUCAGCUAUCGGGAUUUUGGGCUUCUGGAAAUUUCUUUGCCCACAUGCGGUCCAUAUGUACUACUUGUGGUCCAUAUAUUGACUUAGAAAGUGCCGGGAGUAACCCUUUUAGCUUAUCUUCAAUUCCCAAAUAUGCUUUGAUCACAAAUAAGAUAGAAUAUGUCCCGAACAUCCAUAAUUUCUCUAAAAAGUUGUCAAAAACAUCCUUUUUAUCUUUUUC
Molecule: long non-coding RNA, 385 nt
Filed under: Capsicum annuum
Lineage: Eukaryota; Viridiplantae; Streptophyta; Magnoliopsida; Solanales; Solanaceae
Description: long non-coding RNA (CANN_LNC017390)
Source: RNAcentral